AUGACCUCCUGCGGUAACGAGCCGCUCUUCAAGGACGGCAAGGGCUGCGGCUCCUGCUACCAGAUAAGGUGCUUAAGGUCAAACCACCCUGCGUGCUCUGGUGUGCCGGAGACGGUGAUCAUCACGGACAUGAACUACUAUCCGGUCUCUCCCUACCACUUCGACCUCAGCGGCACUGCCUUUGGAGCCAUGGCCAAGGACGGCCGCAACGACGAGCUUCGUAAUGCGGGCAUCAUUGACAUGCAGUUUCGGAGGGUGCCGUGCCAGUACCCGGGGCUGGCCGUGAUGUUCCACGUGGAGAAGGGGUCGAACCCGUUCUACAUGGCAAUCCUGGUGGAAUACGAGAACGGCGACGGCGAUGUGAAACUGCUGGAAAUCAUGGAGUCACGUCCGGACGCUGGUAACGGCGGCGAGAUGGCUCCAACGGGGGACUGGGUGCCCAUGAAGGAGUCGUGGGGUUCCAUCUGGAGGAUGGAUGCCCGACACCGCAUGCAGGGGUCAUUCUCGUUGCGCAUCACUAACGAGUCUGGCAAGAUGCUCGUCGGCGACCAGGUCAUCCCCGCUGACUGGAAGCCAGAAAAAGUCUACAGCUCCGUCAUCCAGUUUGAUUAA
Molecule: ribosomal RNA, 612 nt
Filed under: Triticum aestivum (bread wheat)
Lineage: Eukaryota; Viridiplantae; Streptophyta; Magnoliopsida; Poales; Poaceae
Description: partial small subunit ribosomal RNA
Source: RNAcentral